This 420-nucleotide ribosomal RNA is filed under the name uncultured archaeon. RNAcentral describes it as "bacterial SSU rRNA". It matches the Rfam family "Archaeal small subunit ribosomal RNA", at positions 581 to 997 of the family's 1478-position model. The record is from RNAcentral.
GUACUGCCAGACGUUGGAACCGGGAGAGGUAAGAGGUACUACAGGGGUAGGAGUGAAAUCUUGUAAUCCCUGUGGGACCGACCUGUGGCGAAGGCGUCUUACCAGAACGGGUUCGACGGUGAGGGACGAAGCUGGGGGCACGAACCGGAUUAGAUACCCGGGUAGUCCCAGCCGUAAACGAUGCUCGCUAGGUGUCAGGCAUGGCGCGACCGUGUCUGGUGCCGCAGGGAAGCCGUGAAGCGAGCCACCUGGGAAGUACGGCCGCAAGGCUGAAACUUAAAGGAAUUGGCGGGGGAGCACAACAACGGGUGGAGGCCCUGCGGUUUAAUUGGACUCAACGCCGGACAACUCACCGGGGGCGACAGCAAUAUGUAGGCCAAGCUGAAGACUUUGCCUGAAUCGCUGAGAGGAGGUGCAUGG